GCUUAUGGUUGCAGGACUGAGAUCAAUAAGUGUAAGACUCGACGAUCAGGGUAAUGGAACUUUUGCAAAUUAACAAUUUUAUUAAACAGACAAAUCCAUAAUCAUAUAUAACAUUAUUAUACUUCAACUAAACAUGAGGUCAUUCCACCCAUAAACUAAUUAGGUACUUCUAAUUAAAUCCAGCAAAUUGUGAAGUAAGUGGGG
RNAcentral lists this long non-coding RNA (204 nucleotides) under Elaeis guineensis (African oil palm). RNAcentral describes it as "long non-coding RNA (EGUI_LNC009991)". Lineage: Eukaryota; Viridiplantae; Streptophyta; Magnoliopsida; Arecales; Arecaceae. The record is from RNAcentral.